Poecilia reticulata (guppy) is the source of this 784-nucleotide long non-coding RNA. RefSeq lists it as uncharacterized. Lineage: Eukaryota; Metazoa; Chordata; Actinopteri; Cyprinodontiformes; Poeciliidae. The record is from RefSeq and is a predicted model, not a curated record.
CUGAAGAGCUGCUGAGGAGGAGGAACAGGAGGAAGAGGAGGGGGAGAGGCCAGCAGCCUGCUUCUGAGUGUCCUAAAACAGUUCUCAUCGACCACAUCAGACACGGUCGUCGCCACAAUACACACAUCGUUUGUCACACACCAAUGUGACAUGGUGAGCAACACUGUGGCCGUCGACUUACAGACAAGCUGUAAAUCUUCUGCGUUGAGAAAGGAGCGUUGGUUCACAUGGAAAAAAACAAGGACACAAAGAGGAGAGGACCUGGAUCUUAUCACUCGGGGGUUUGAACACAAACCAGACCACCUCUCACCAACUCCAAACAGCAAAUUAGGAGCUGGGAGCUGCCGACUGCACUUGUGACAAAGACGUGACGGAGAGCAGACGGGCUGGACUGUGUCACAGGUCACAUGGGCCCCGAUACGAGAGGAAUGCUGACCAUGUACAGCCAGAAUAAGCAGAGAUGUCCAUACGUUUGUUUCAGUUCAAGCAGGCCUUCAUAAUGCAUUCUUAUUAAUGUAGUAAAUUCAGUUGUAUCCAGUUGUAAACCCGUCCGUUCGUUUUCUGUAUCAAACGUUUCAAUGUGGUGGGUGGAGGGAAUCAACAGGUGAGAGACAGAGCUUAUAAAGUACCAGUCCAUCACAGGAUCAGUGCUGAGACACAACGUGGCAACGUCAGCAUGCAAAGGUUCCAGCUGAGGUUGAAACUCGCAACCUUCCUGUACGCCUUAAGAGUUCUUUUAUUUUUUUUCUAUAAAGGAAUCUAAACAGUGAUUGGCUCUUUCUGU